Molecule: non-coding RNA, 3044 nt
Organism: Misgurnus anguillicaudatus (oriental weatherfish)
Lineage: Eukaryota; Metazoa; Chordata; Actinopteri; Cypriniformes; Cobitidae
Source: RefSeq, a predicted model, not a curated record
AAAUGUAUCAUUUUUUGUUGUAUUUUUACAUUACAAAAAUGUAAAUUAAUAUUAAAUGCAAGGGAUUAAAGUGAAUUUUUUUAUGUUUCAUGCAUACUUGAAGGUGUAUAAAAUGCAUCACAAAACUUAAUGAACUCGGGUACUACAGGCUAAAAAUGAAGAGGUUUUGGCAGUGGCACACAGAGAAAAGGAUAUUUUAAAUUGAUUGGCAAAAUGAUUUUUUUUACAAAAAGCCUUGGAAAAUAAAACUGCAUUAGUUAUGCAUAAACAGAGUAAUGUUUGCUUAUUUAUUUUUAAAAUAUUAGAAAAUUAUAAAUUAGGGUUUAUCAGAGCAACUUUAAUUUUAUUAUAACACAACAACAUUUACUUUUGGGCCACGGCCCUCAGUCAGGUUUGGCCCUUGUAAGGAAAAUGUUCGGGCACCAAUCAAUGUGUAGUUUAUCUGAGGAGGUAACUGUUUAGCAUAUGAUAAUGCAUGCUUGUACAAAGUCAGUCCACAUAUUAUAAUGUUUGUCUUCAAUCAAUCAAUUUAAAUAAAAGAGAUGGGGACUUUAUAAUAUAAUAAGGGUCCAUAUAUCACAGUGAUAAAAGACAUACAUGUAUUUUUACUUUAACAUGAACUAAUGCUGAGUUAAGGCAUAUACUAUCAUAAACUAAGAGUCAUCAUUAAGAUGACAUGUUUUUCAUUGUUAGUUAAUGCAUUCAUUUACAAUGAAUUAAUUUGAGUUCAUGUUGUAAUUAAGUAAGUUCAGUAAGUUACAUGUCUUAACUCAGCAUUAGUUUUGUAUUUACUUAUAUUUAAGUAAGAAUUCAUUUAGGUAUAUGUUCAAUGUUUCCAAUGAUGAGCAGUUAAUCCACUAAACCCAAAGAUAAUUCCUGAGGCAUGUUUAAAGAGUUUUGUAUUUCAUCAAAGAUUUUAUAUUUAAGAAAAUCUGAGCAUCAUUCAAAAUAACUGUUAACAUGUUUGUCAACUAAACAUGUUUUGUCAACGUUAUAAACUUUAUAGAAAUAUUUUUUAUUAAUGACCAAGUAUAAAGAACCAUGCAUAGCGUGAAAACGCGGAUUAUAUAAAAGUAUAUAAUAAAGUGCGAGCAGAGGAUCGAUCAAACUUGGGCUGGAAUGAUUGUAGUGCAUCCAAUGCACCUUGGAAUUCGUAGUUUACAUCUACAGCAGCAUAUGCUACAGCAGUGACAACGCCAAAGAAAAGGACUACAUUUCCCAGAAUGCACCUGCACCCACUCAUCUGCCCCCACUCUUCAGGUGCGACUGCUUGACCUAUGGGCUUGACGGGAAAAUUCAAAAUCGCGAACCGUUACAGCCUGGACUUCUCGGUGUCUUUCUUUGUUUGUUUGCUCAUCAACAUUAAGAGGUCAUGUACACUGUGGUCAACUUGUGGACGCUGAAGAGGUUUCUGGAGAAAUAAUGAAGUAACAGUGGAAGCUAAAACAUCAGACUGAUCCAGACACUGAAGAAAUUGAUGUCACUGCAAUCUGGCCAAAAUGAUAGAAAUAUAAUGAAGUAACAGUGGAAGCUAAAACAUCAAACUGAUCCAGACACUGAAGAAAUUGAUGUCACUGCAAUCUGGCCAAAAUGAUACAACUAUAUUGAAGUAGCCUACUGUAAUGAAGCUGCAGAACGUCACAGAGACUCUGAGGACAUCAUCACAGAAUAUCAAGGCUCCCAAGAGAUGUCUGUCCAGAUGAGGGUGCAUCAACGUUACCUUUGCUGACAAGUAUAUGCUUUACAAUGUAAAACCUAACAGUUAACUUAACUCAAACCAUUUAAGGAAAUUGGUUGCCUUAAAUCAUUAAGUUUUAAAAAAACAUACAUUUGAGUACUGUGAACUUAAGUCUUGUGCAAUUAUGCACUUAUAUUUAGGUAGUGUGAACUUAAAUAUAAGUGCUUAACUGCAUGUGACUCAAUUUGUUUAAGUUCACAGUACUCAAAUCUAUGUGUUUUAAAACUUGAAUGGUUUAAUGCAACCGGUUUUCUUAAAUGUGAGAAAUUACAGUGUUACAGUGAGAAAUGUUUGAAUAAUUCCAAGACAGAGCUCUGUGAUUGAUUCUACACUGCAAAAAUCACUUUCUAACACUUUUUAUCUUGUUUUCAGUAGAAAAACUAAAAAUUCUUAAAUCAAGAUGUAUUUUCUUGAUGAGCAAAAUUACCUUAGAAAAUAUGUCUAGUUUUUAGACAAAAAUAUACAAUUUAAGAUAAUUUGUGCCUAAACAAGCAAAAAUAUCUAACAAUGGGGUGAGAAAAUUGUGUGUUAAUUAAGUUUUUAAGAAAAAAGAAAACUUAAGAUUUUUUUCUCACACUAUUGGCAGAUAUUUUUGCUUGUUUUAAGUACAAAUUCACUUAAUACACAGACACACACACAUUAUUUAUUUGGUCUAAAACUAGACUUAUUUUCUUGGGUCAUUUUGUUCCUCAAGAAAAAGCAUUUUAAUUUAAAUAAUAUUUCUACAGAAAACAAGACAAAAAUACUAUGUAAGAAAGUCAUUUUUUGCAGUGUAGGACUAAUUUCUUUAGAUUAUUUAGAUAUUUACUACAUUACAGUGGCAGCUGGUGACUUCUUUUUUUUGUGAGCACUCAAUGCGAAGUUUGUCACAACAUGUAUAUAGCCCGUCAUUUGUGUGGUUCCCAAUUUCAAAAUAUGUGUUCUGUGUGUCGAGUGCGUGUAUGUGCAUCACGUGUUUUGACUAAACACGUGAUGCACGUGGUUUACAUGAAGCAACAAACACAUAUUUUAAAAACACAAGCAACACGCAUGACACUCUGAACACUUAUUUUGAAUUUGCAACCCUCGGAUGAGCAGUCACGAGCAGCCACUGCUACAUUACAUUGUACUGCUUUGAAUGUAGUUUUCAUUGUUGCUUUUAUUUUGUUUUAUUUUACUCUAAUAUUGCUUUCUCUGUCUGUAUAUUUAUGAGUUUAAAUGGUAUUGUUUAUGUAUGCAACUUUUAAUAUUUGUGUAUUAUAUUAUUUUGUGAUUGUGACAAUUGUGGAUUGUUCAGUUUUUUAUUAAAUAAACAUUUCAAACUCAA